RNAcentral lists this unclassified non-coding RNA (90 nucleotides) under Pseudomonas brassicacearum. The record is from RNAcentral. Lineage: Bacteria; Pseudomonadati; Pseudomonadota; Gammaproteobacteria; Pseudomonadales; Pseudomonadaceae.
UGUGGGAGCGAGCUUGCUCGCGAUGGCGUCAGGUCAGCCAACAUUGAUGUCGACUGAUGCACCGCUAUCGCGAGCAAGCUCGCUCCCACA